CGAAAAGUGAAGCAGAGAUUAAAUAAAAAGUAGGAGGCAGCUAUUAGAGAUGAAGAAAUACAUGCAAGAUUGCACUUCACUGAGAGCAAUGUGGAAAUGUGUGUAGCUGAUCGUGUUUCAUGUGAGGAUGCAGGAACGUGAAUAGUGGUAGGUCAGCAGGAAACAGCAAUUGUAAGAGAUGGCAACAAGAUAAAACAGCUAAUGGAGGUGAAAAGUGGCAGUCAGUCAGCACUGAGAGGCUCAUAACGGUCAGGUGAGAGACAUGGGGCAUCACUAAGCCUGUCUUUCAGACGUGUGUAAAUGCUUAAUUUCUAACCUGAUAAAUGUUUAGCUAAUCAACAUGCAAUGGUGCUAUUUGCAAAUCUUUUGAGCUAGGGGACUUGCAUCACUGUGAAAUGUGGGCCAAUAAUCAUAGAACUUCCUGGACUCACAAUUUUAUGGUUGCUAGAAUGGAAUACUGUUGAAUCUGAUAUUGGAGUGAUAUAUGAUUCCUGCCAUGAAUGGCCACCGAAGUUACUUUUCUUGUUAAAUAGGGUUCAGAAUGACCCCUUGAAUUUGUGUUUGUUUUUGUU
This 572-nucleotide long non-coding RNA is filed under the name Gallus gallus (chicken). Its description in RNAcentral is "long non-coding RNA NONGGAT002893". Lineage: Eukaryota; Metazoa; Chordata; Aves; Galliformes; Phasianidae. The record is from RNAcentral.